This 728-nucleotide ribosomal RNA is filed under the name bacterium 17-L049660-122-017-A03. RNAcentral describes it as "bacterial SSU rRNA". It matches the Rfam family "Bacterial small subunit ribosomal RNA", at positions 56 to 775 of the family's 1533-position model. The record is from RNAcentral.
UGCAAGUCGAACGGUAGCACAGAGAGCUUGCUCUCGGGUGACGAGUGGCGGACGGGUGAGUAAUGUCUGGGAAACUGCCCGAUGGAGGGGGAUAACUACUGGAAACGGUAGCUAAUACCGCAUAACGUCUACGGACCAAAGUGGGGGACCUUCGGGCCUCACACCAUCGGAUGUGCCCAGAUGGGAUUAGCUGGUAGGUGGGGUAAUGGCUCACCUAGGCGACGAUCCCUAGCUGGUCUGAGAGGAUGACCAGCCACACUGGAACUGAGACACGGUCCAGACUCCUACGGGAGGCAGCAGUGGGGAAUAUUGCACAAUGGGCGCAAGCCUGAUGCAGCCAUGCCGCGUGUAUGAAGAAGGCCUUCGGGUUGUAAAGUACUUUCAGCGGGGAGGAAGGGUUGCUGGUUAAUAACCAGUGACAUUGACGUUACCCGCAGAAGAAGCACCGGCUAACUCCGUGCCAGCAGCCGCGGUAAUACGGAGGGUGCAAGCGUUAAUCGGAAUUACUGGGCGUAAAGCGCACGCAGGCGGUCUGUCAAGUCAGAUGUGAAAUCCCCGGGCUUAACCUGGGAACUGCAUUUGAAACUGGCAGGCUAGAGUCUUGUAGAGGGGGGUAGAAUUCCAGGUGUAGCGGUGAAAUGCGUAGAGAUCUGGAGGAAUACCGGUGGCGAAGGCGGCCCCCUGGACAAAGACUGACGCUCAGGUGCGAAAGCGUGGGGAGCAAACAG